RNAcentral lists this transfer RNA (66 nucleotides) under Xylophaga oregona. Its description in RNAcentral is "tRNA-Val". Lineage: Eukaryota; Metazoa; Mollusca; Bivalvia; Myida; Xylophagaidae. The record is from RNAcentral.
UAGGAAAUAGCAUAACAAGUGUGUUUUGUUUACAACAAAAAGGUGGUUGGUUCGAACCUUUCUUUA